GGAAGGGCUUAUAAUCCUUCCUGUGGGUGACCGAAUAAGCCUGUCGUGAGCGGGCUAAAGUAUGCAGAUCCCUGUGGUAGGGUUGGUAGAGUUCAAUCGAAUGAGCCAAAUGACAAUACCAUGUCUAGUCUGUAGUUUGAAGUAGGUACACAAUGAACUGAUGUUCACGCCGAAAAAUUGGAGGUAUACAGUAGUCCUUCCCCACAUCUA
Molecule: non-coding RNA, 210 nt
Filed under: unclassified sequences
Description: manA RNA
Rfam family: manA RNA
About the family: manA RNA has been located in 5'UTR regions of genes of mannose or fructose metabolism. Has been proposed as a cis-regulatory element and as a riboswitch candidate for his complex secondary structure.
Source: RNAcentral